GACGUAGGGGGCCAGCGUUGUUCGGAAUUACUGGGUGUAAAGGGUUCGUAGGCGGUGCGGCAAGUCGGGAGUGAAAUCUCUGGGCUUAACCCAGAGGCUGCUUCCGAAGCUGCUGUGCUUGAGUGUGGGAGAGGCGCGUGGAAUUGCAGGUGUAGCGGUGAAAUGCGUAGAUAUCUGCAGGAACACCCGUGGCGAAAGCGGCGCGCUGGACCACUACUGACGCUGAGGAACGAAAGCUAGGGGAGCAAACAGG
RNAcentral lists this ribosomal RNA (253 nucleotides) under uncultured bacterium. Its description in RNAcentral is "partial 16S ribosomal RNA". It matches the Rfam family "Bacterial small subunit ribosomal RNA", at positions 524 to 776 of the family's 1533-position model. The record is from RNAcentral.